Gossypium arboreum is the source of this 228-nucleotide ribosomal RNA. It matches the Rfam family "Eukaryotic large subunit ribosomal RNA", at positions 1311 to 1538 of the family's 3401-position model. The record is from Rfam. Lineage: Eukaryota; Viridiplantae; Streptophyta; Magnoliopsida; Malvales; Malvaceae.
CCCAAAAAUGGAUGGCGCUUAAGCGCGCAACCUAUACCCGGCCGUCAGGGCAAGAGCCAGGCCCCGAUGAGUAGGAAGGUGCGGCAGUCGCCGCAAAACCCGGGGCUCGAGCCCGGGCGGAGCGGCCAUCGGUGCAAAUCUUGGUGGUAGUAGCAAAUAUUCAAAUGAGAACUUUGAAGGCAGAAGAGGGGAAAGGUUCCAUGUGAACGGCACUUGCACAUGGGUUAG